CCUACGGGUGGCAGCAGUGAGGAAUAUUGGUCAAUGGCCGGAAGGCUGAACCAGCCAAGCCGCGUGAGGGAAUAAGGCCCUAUGGGUCGUAAACCCCUUUUGCCAGGGAGCAAAGGCGUCCACGAGUGGACGAAAGGAUAGUCCCUGAAGAAAAAGCAUCCGCUAACUCCGUGCCGGCAGCCGCGGUAAUACGGGGGAGGGGAGCGUUAUCCGGAUGUAUUGGGUUUAAGGGGUGCGUAGGCGGAGGGUAAAGUCAGCGGUAAAAUUUCGGGGCUCAAGCCCGUCGUGCCGUUGAAACUGACACACUUGAGUGAGUGAGAGGUAAGCGGAAUGCGUGGUGUAGCGGUGAAAUGCAUAGAUAUCACGCAGAACGCCGAUUGCGAAGGCAACUUACCGGCGCUCAACUGACGCUGAGGCACGAAAGUGCGGGUAGCGAACAGGAUUAGAUACCCUUGUAGUC
RNAcentral lists this ribosomal RNA (460 nucleotides) under uncultured bacterium. RNAcentral describes it as "partial 16S ribosomal RNA". It matches the Rfam family "Bacterial small subunit ribosomal RNA", at positions 338 to 795 of the family's 1533-position model. The record is from RNAcentral.